GUGGGGAAUAUUGGACAAUGGGCGCAAGCCUGAUCCAGCAAUGCCGCGUGUGUGAAGAAGGCCUGCGGGUUGUAAAGCACUUUGAGUGGGGAAGAAGGCCUGGGGGCGAAUACCCUCUGGGAUUGACGUUACCCACAGAACAAGCACCGGCUAACUCCGUGCCAGCAGCCGCGGUAAUACGGAGGGUGCGAGCGUUAAUCGGAAUUACUGGGCGUAAAGCGCGCGUAGGCGGUUAAAUGAGUCUGAUGUGAAAGCCCCGGGCUUAACCUGGGAAUGGCAUUGGAUACUGUUUGACUGGAGUGUGGGAGAGGGUAGUGGAAUUUCCGGUGUAGCAGUGAAAUGCGUAGAGAUCGGAAGGAACACCAGUGGCGAAGGCGGCUACCUGGACCAACACUGACGCUGAGGUGCGAAAGCGUGGGGAGCAAACAGGAUUAGAAACCCUUGUAGUCC
Molecule: ribosomal RNA, 450 nt
Filed under: uncultured bacterium
Lineage: Bacteria
Description: bacterial SSU rRNA
Rfam family: Bacterial small subunit ribosomal RNA
Source: RNAcentral